GGUAGAGCACAACACUUUUAAUGUUGGGGUCCUGGGUUCGAGCCCCAGCGGGAUCACCA
RNAcentral lists this transfer RNA (59 nucleotides) under Alistipes sp. RNAcentral describes it as "tRNA-Ser". It matches the Rfam family "tRNA", at positions 17 to 71 of the family's 71-position model. Rfam says of the family: Transfer RNA (tRNA) molecules are approximately 80 nucleotides in length. Their secondary structure includes four short double-helical elements and three loops (D, anti-codon, and T loops). The record is from RNAcentral. Lineage: Bacteria; Pseudomonadati; Bacteroidota; Bacteroidia; Bacteroidales; Rikenellaceae.